Molecule: ribosomal RNA, 216 nt
Filed under: Glomeromycotina sp.
Lineage: Eukaryota; Fungi; Glomeromycota
Description: partial small subunit ribosomal RNA
Rfam family: Eukaryotic small subunit ribosomal RNA (bases 40-216)
Source: RNAcentral
GGGUCAGUAGGUUGGUCGUGCCACCGGUACGUACUGGUCUCACUGAUUCCUCCUUCCUGAAGAACCGUAAUGCCAUUAAUUUGGUGUUGCGGGGACACAGGACUGUUACUUUGAAAAAAUUAGAGUGUUUAAAGCAAGCUAACGCUUGAAUACAUUAGCAUGGAAUAAUGAAAUAGGACGAUCGAUCCUAUUUUGUUGGUUUCUAGGAUUGACGUA